UGUAUGUAUUUAAACCCCAUCCUUGGGUCCUCGUGUCCCCCAGGGACUAUAUAUGACAUUGUGGCUGCCCUCAAGCUGGGCUGGUUGGGCUGAUCUGAUAAACCUAUUUGUGGGGCAGAAACA
This 123-nucleotide small nucleolar RNA is filed under the name Bison bison bison. Its description in RNAcentral is "Small nucleolar RNA SNORD23 (ENSBBBG00000005880.1)". Lineage: Eukaryota; Metazoa; Chordata; Mammalia; Artiodactyla; Bovidae. The record is from RNAcentral.